This 925-nucleotide ribosomal RNA is filed under the name uncultured bacterium. Its description in RNAcentral is "bacterial SSU rRNA". It matches the Rfam family "Bacterial small subunit ribosomal RNA", at positions 70 to 995 of the family's 1533-position model. The record is from RNAcentral.
UUGGAAAUAGCAAUAUUACCAUGAGAGUGGCGCACGGGUGCGUAACACGUAUGCAAUCUGCCCCUAACUGGAAGAUAGCCCGGCGAAAGUCGGAUUAAUAUUCCAUAACAUUGCGAAACGGCAUCGUUUUGUAAUUAAAGCUCCGGCGGUUAGGGAUGAGCAUGCGCGACAUUAGCUAGAUGGCGAGGUAACGGCUCACCAUGGCUACGAUGUCUAGGGGGUCUGAGAGGAUUAUCCCCCACACUGGUACUGAGACACGGACCAGACUCCUACGGGAGGCAGCAGUAGGGAAUAUUGGGCAAUGGACGCAAGUCUGACCCAGCCAUGCCGCGUGCAGGAUGACGGCCCUAUGGGUUGUAAACUGCUUUUGUACAGGAAGAAACCCCUUUACGUGUAGAGGGCUGACAUUACUGUAAGAAUAAGGAUCGGCUAACUCCGUGCCAGCAGCCGCGGUAAUACGGAGGAUCCAAGCGUUGUCCGGAUUUAUUGGGUUUAAAGGGUGCGUAGGCGGACCAUUAAGUCAGAGGUGAAAGUUUGCAGCUUAACUGUAAAAUUGCCUUUGAAACUGGUGGUCUUGAGUACAGUUGAGGUGGGCGGAAUGUGUCAUGUAGCGGUGAAAUGCUUAGAUAUGAUACAGAACACCGAUUGCGAAGGCAGCUCACUAAACUGUAACUGACGCUGAGGCACGAAAGCGUGGGGAGCGAACAGGAUUAGAUACCCUGGUAGUCCACGCCCUAAACGUUGAAUACUCGUUGUUGGCGAUAUACAGUCAGCGACUAAGCGAAAGCAUUAAGUAUUCCACCUGGGGAGUACGACCGCAAGGUUGAAACUCAAAGGAAUUGACGGGGGCCCGCACAAGCGGAGGAGUAUGUGGUUUAAUUCGAUGAUACGCGAGGAACCUUACCUGGGCUUGAAAGUUAGCGAC